RNAcentral lists this ribosomal RNA (1313 nucleotides) under metagenome. RNAcentral describes it as "bacterial LSU rRNA". It matches the Rfam family "Bacterial large subunit ribosomal RNA", at positions 1597 to 2925 of the family's 2925-position model. The record is from RNAcentral.
CCUCCAUGCUUCCAAGAAAAGCAUCUAGAGAGAGAAGUAGUGCCCGUACCGCAAACCGACACAGGUAGAUGAGGAGAGAAUCCUAAGGCCGGCGGAAGAAUUGCAGUUAAGGAACUAGGCAAAUUGACCCCGUAAGUUCGCGAGAAGGGGUGCCUGCGAGAGCAGGCCGCAGAGAAUAGGCCCAAGCAACUGUUUAGCAAAAACACAGGUCUCUGCUAAAGCGCAAGCUGAUGUAUAGGGGCUGACGCCUGCCCGGUGCUGGAAGGCUAAGGGGAACACUUAGCGCAAGCGAAGGUGUGAACUUAAGCCCCAGUAAACGGCGGCCGUAACUAUAACGGUCCUAAGGUAGCGAAAUUCCUUGUCAGGUAAGUUCUGACCCGCACGAAAGGCGUAAUGACUUGGGCACUGUCUCAACUGCAAAUCCGGCGAAGUUGUAGUGCGAGUGAAGAUGCUCGCUACCCGCGAUUGGACGGAAAGACCCCGUAGAGCUUUACUGCAGCUUAGCAUUGAAUCUCGGUAUUGUCUGUACAGGAUAGGUGGGAGACUGGGAAACUAGGGCGUCAGCCUUAGUGGAGUCACCCUUGGGAUACCACCCUGACAGUACUGGGGUUCUAACAGGAUGCCAUGAAUCUGGUGACUGGACAUUGUUAGGUGGGCAGUUUGACUGGGGCGGUCGCCUCCUAAAAAGUAACGGAGGCGCCCAAAGGUUCCCUCAGAACGGUCGGAAAUCGUUCGAAGGUGCAAAGGCAGAAGGGAGCCUGACUGCGAGACUUACAAGUCGAGCAGGGACGAAAGUCGGGCUUAGUGAUCCGGUGGUACCUCGUGGGAGGGCCAUCGCUCAACGGAUAAAAGCUACCUCGGGGAUAACAGGCUGAUCCCCCCCAAGAGUCCACAUCGACGGGGAGGUUUGGCACCUCGAUGUCGGCUCGUCGCAUCCUGGGGCUGUAGUAGGUCCCAAGGGUUGGGCUGUUCGCCCAUUAAAGCGGCACGCGAGCUGGGUUCAGAACGUCGUGAGACAGUUCGGUCCCUAUCCGCCGCGGGCGUAGGAAAUUUGAGAGGAGCUGUCCUUAGUACGAGAGGACCGGGAUGGACUGACCUCUGGUGUACCAGUUGUUCUGCCAAGAGCAUAGCUGGGUAGCUAAGUCGGGAAGGGAUAAACGCUGAAAGCAUCUAAGCGUGAAGCCCACCUCAAGAUGAGAUUUCCCAUAGCAUAAGCUAGUAAGACCCCUUGAAGAACACAAGGUUGAUAGGUCAGAGGUGUAAGUGCGGUAACGUAUUUAGCUGACUGAUACUAAUAGGUCGAGGGCUUGACC